This 406-nucleotide ribosomal RNA is filed under the name uncultured bacterium. RNAcentral's name for it is "partial 16S ribosomal RNA". It matches the Rfam family "Bacterial small subunit ribosomal RNA", at positions 29 to 526 of the family's 1533-position model. The record is from RNAcentral.
AUUGAACGCUGGCGGCAGGCUUAACACAUGCAAGUCGAGCGAGCGGCGGACGGGUGAGUAAUGUCUGGGAAACUGCCUGAUGGAGGGGGAUAACUACUGGAACCGGUAGCUAAUACCGCAUACCAUCAGAUGUGCCCAGAUUGGAGUGGCUAGUAGGUGGGGUAAUGGCUCACCGAGGCGACGAACCCUAGCUGGUCUGAGAGGAUGACCAGCCGCACUGGAACGGAGACACGGUCCAGACGCCUACGGGAGGCAGCAGUGGGGAAUAUUGCACAAUGGGCGCGAGCCUGAUGCAGCCAUGCCGCGUGUGUGAAGAAGGCCUUCGGGUUGUAAAGCACUUUCAGCGAGGAGGCGUUACUCGCAGAAGAAGCACCGGCUAACUCCGUGCCAGCAGCCGCGGUAAUUC